This 401-nucleotide ribosomal RNA is filed under the name uncultured bacterium. Its description in RNAcentral is "bacterial SSU rRNA". It matches the Rfam family "Bacterial small subunit ribosomal RNA", at positions 356 to 773 of the family's 1533-position model. The record is from RNAcentral.
GGGGAAUAUUGGACAAUGGGCGCAAGCCUGAUCCAGCCAUGCCGCGUGGGUGAUGAAGGCCCUAGGGUCGUAAAGCCCUUUCGGCGGGGAAGAUAAUGACGGUACCCGCAGAAGAAGCCCCGGCUAACUUCGUGCCAGCAGCCGCGGUAAUACGAAGGGGGCUAGCGUUGCUCGGAAUCACUGGGCGUAAAGCGCACGUAGGCGGACUCUUAAGUCGGGGGUGAAAUCCUGGAGCUCAACUCCAGAACUGCCUUCGAUACUGAGAGUCUUCGAGUUCGGGAGAGGUGAGUGGAACUGCGAGUGUAGAGGUGAAAUUCGUAGAUAUUCGCAAGAACACCAGUGGCGAAGGCGGCUCACUGGCCCGAUACUGACGCUGAGGUGCGAAAGCGUGGGGAGCAAAC